CGUGCUUAACACAUGCAAGUCGAGCGAGAAAGUUCUCUUCGGAGAAUGAGUAGAGCGGCGCACGGGUGAGUAACGCGUGGAUAAUCUGCCCCGAAGAUCGGGAUAACAGUUGGAAACGACUGCUAAUACCGAAUGUUCUGCAUAUUUAACUUUAUGUGGUAAAGAUGGCCUCUAUUUAUAAGCUAUCGCUUUGGGAUGAGUCCGCGUCUCAUUAGAUAGUUGGUGGGGUAAUGGCCUACCAAGUCAACGAUGAGUAGCUGGUCUGAGAGGAUGAUCAGCCACACUGGGACUGAAACACGGCCCAGACUCCUACGGGAGGCAGCAGUGGGGAAUAUUGCGCAAUGGGGGAAACCCUGACGCAGCGACGCCGCGUGCGGGAAGAAGGCCUUCGGGUCGUAAACCGCUGUCAGGAGGGGAAGAAACUGUUGGAGUCGAAUAGGCUCUUUCACCUGACGGUACCUCCAGAGGAAGCACCGGC
This 478-nucleotide ribosomal RNA is filed under the name uncultured delta proteobacterium. RNAcentral describes it as "bacterial SSU rRNA". It matches the Rfam family "Bacterial small subunit ribosomal RNA", at positions 43 to 497 of the family's 1533-position model. Lineage: Bacteria; Deltaproteobacteria. The record is from RNAcentral.